Molecule: ribosomal RNA, 497 nt
Filed under: uncultured bacterium
Lineage: Bacteria
Description: partial 16S ribosomal RNA
Rfam family: Bacterial small subunit ribosomal RNA
Source: RNAcentral
GAUGAACGCUGGCGGCGUGCCUAAUACAUGCAAGUCGAGCGAACAGACGAGGCUCUUGCUCCUCUGACGUUAGCGGCGGACGGGUGAGUAACACGUGGUUAACCUACCUAUAAGACUUGGAUAACUUCGGGUAACCGUAGCUCAUACCGGAUAAUAUAUUUAACCUCAUGGUUCAAUAGUUAUUUCCGUUUUUGCUGUCCUUUAUACAUGGCUCCGGGCGGCUUUAGUUAGUUGGUAAGGUAACGGCUUCCCAAGGCAACGAUGCGUAGCCGACCUGAGAGGGGGAAGGGCGACACUGGAAGUGAGACACGGUCCAGACUCCGAGGGGAGGCAGAAGUAGGGAAUCGUCCGAAAUGGGCGAAAGACUGACGGAGCAACGCAGCGUGAGUGAAGAAGGUCUUCGGAGCGGAAAACGGUGUUAUUAGGGAAGAACAAAUGUGUGAGUAACGAUGCACGUCUUGACGGUACCUAAUCAGAAAGCCACGGCUAACUACGUG